UCCCUGGUGGCUGAGUAGUAAAGAACUUGCCUGCAAUGCAGGAGACCAGGUUAUAUCCCUGGUUUGGGAA
Molecule: transfer RNA, 70 nt
Filed under: Bos taurus (domestic cattle)
Lineage: Eukaryota; Metazoa; Chordata; Mammalia; Artiodactyla; Bovidae
Rfam family: tRNA
About the family: Transfer RNA (tRNA) molecules are approximately 80 nucleotides in length. Their secondary structure includes four short double-helical elements and three loops (D, anti-codon, and T loops). Further hydrogen bonds mediate the characteristic L-shaped molecular structure. tRNAs have two regions of fundamental functional importance: the anti-codon, which is responsible for specific mRNA codon recognition, and the 3' end, to which the tRNAs corresponding amino acid is attached (by aminoacyl-tRNA synthetases). tRNAs cope with the degeneracy of the genetic code in two manners: having more than one tRNA (with a specific anti-codon) for a particular amino acid; and 'wobble' base-pairing, i.e. permitting non-standard base-pairing at the 3rd anti-codon position.
Source: Rfam by way of RNAcentral